GUCCGCGUAGCUCAGCAGGAUAGAGCACAGGAUUCCUAUUGAAUUGGGCGCCGUGAGGGGAAACCGCACGGUGGAACUGCUCAAAUUCGGGGAACGCUUGACCCUCUGCCGGUCAUGCCAAUCCCGAGCCAAGUCCGGAUAUACCGGAAAGGUGUAGAGACUGGACGGGCAGCGCCUGUUGGCCCUUGAUCGGGUCUAUGGCGAAGGGACAGUCCAGACCACGAACGUAGCGCCGGAUGGCCUGCGGCGGCGAAAGUCGAAGUGGUACGAAUCCUGGGGCCGUGGGUUCGAAUCCCGCCGCGGACACCA
RNAcentral lists this transfer RNA (309 nucleotides) under Acetobacter oeni. RNAcentral's name for it is "tRNA-Arg". Lineage: Bacteria; Pseudomonadati; Pseudomonadota; Alphaproteobacteria; Acetobacterales; Acetobacteraceae. The record is from RNAcentral.